GUAGAUAUGGCCGAGUGGUUAAGGCGACUGACUCGAAAUCAGUUUCCAUCUUGUAGCGUAGGUUCGAAUCCUGCUAACUGCG
Daphnia pulex (common water flea) is the source of this 82-nucleotide non-coding RNA. Lineage: Eukaryota; Metazoa; Arthropoda; Branchiopoda; Diplostraca; Daphniidae. The record is from Rfam.